RNAcentral lists this ribosomal RNA (449 nucleotides) under uncultured bacterium. RNAcentral's name for it is "bacterial SSU rRNA". It matches the Rfam family "Bacterial small subunit ribosomal RNA", at positions 28 to 457 of the family's 1533-position model. The record is from RNAcentral.
GAUGAACGCUGGCGGCGUGCUUAACACAUGCAAGUCGAACGAAGCACUUUAUUUGAUUUCCUUCGGGACUGAUUAUUUUGUGACUGAGUGGCGGACGGGUGAGUAACGCGUGGGUAACCUGCCUUGUACAGGGGGAUAACAGUUGGAAACGGCUGCUAAUACCGCAUAAGCGCACGGCAUCGCAUGAUGCAGUGUGAAAAACUCCGGUGGUAUAAGAUGGACCCGCGUUGGAUUAGCUGGUUGGUGAGGUAACGGCCCACCAAGGCGACGAUCCAUAGCCGACCUGAGAGGGUGACCGGCCACAUUGGGACUGAGACACGGCCCAAACUCCUACGGGAGGCAGCAGUGGGGAAUAUUGCACAAUGGGCGAAAGCCUGAUGCAGCGACGCCGCGUGAGCGAAGAAGUAUUUCGGUAUGUAAAGCUCUAUCAGCAGGGAAGAUAAUGACGG